This is a non-coding RNA of Parelaphostrongylus tenuis, 72 nucleotides long. The record is from the annotation of a GenBank genome assembly. NCBI's taxonomy places the organism in Eukaryota, Metazoa, Nematoda, Chromadorea, Rhabditida, Metastrongylidae.
GUGCCGGUAGUGCAAUGGUUAGCACGCGCCCCAGAAAAGGAUGAAAUGUGCGUUCGAAUCCCUCCCGACGUU